RNAcentral lists this long non-coding RNA (248 nucleotides) under Lathyrus oleraceus (garden pea). Its description in RNAcentral is "Pisum sativum (pea) long non-coding RNA (PSAT_LNC024735)". Lineage: Eukaryota; Viridiplantae; Streptophyta; Magnoliopsida; Fabales; Fabaceae. The record is from RNAcentral.
ACUCUAUGGGGACCAACCACCAGACAAAAGUUCUAAAAACCAACAAAUAUCCUUGCACUGCUGGAUGAAUCAUCUCUGUCAAGGAGAAGAGAAACACCGCUCCGCUGAGGAUAGAAAAAAUAAACUUUUUCAACACCCGCUCUGCUCAGGAGGAAAUAUCAAAAAGGCUAUGGUCAGAUAACUCCACUGGGGAAACACUGCUGAUGACUGAACCGGGAACAAACUGUAGGCGAUCAGCUGGAGAUAAC